CCUACUGGAGGCAGCAGUGAGGAAUAUUGGUCAAUGGGCGCGAGCCUGAUCCAGCCAAGUAGCGUGAAGGAUGACUGCCCUACGGGUUGUAAACUUCUUUUAUAAAGGAAUAACGUAAGGCACGUGUGCCUUUUUGUCUGUACUUUAUGAAUACGGAUCGGCUAACUCCGUGCCAGCAGCCGUGGUAAUACGGAGGUUCCGAGCGUUAUCAGGAUUUAUUGGGUUUAAAGGGAGCGUAGAUGGGUUGUUAAGUCAGUUGUGAAAGUGUGCGGCUCAACCGUAUAAUUGCAAUUGAUACUGGCAGCCUUGAGUACAGUUGGGGUAGGCGGAAUUCGUGGUGUAGCGGUGAAAUGCUUAGAUAUCACGAAGAACUCCGAUUGCGAAGGCAGCUUACUAAACUGCCACUGACAUUGAUGCUCGAAAGUGUGGGUAUCAAACAGGAUUAGAUACCCUGGUAGUC
Molecule: ribosomal RNA, 460 nt
Filed under: uncultured bacterium
Lineage: Bacteria
Description: partial 16S ribosomal RNA
Rfam family: Bacterial small subunit ribosomal RNA
Source: RNAcentral